Molecule: ribosomal RNA, 410 nt
Filed under: uncultured Cryomonadida
Lineage: Eukaryota; Cercozoa; Thecofilosea
Description: partial small subunit ribosomal RNA
Rfam family: Eukaryotic small subunit ribosomal RNA
Source: RNAcentral
GCUUGUCUCAAAGAUUAAGCCAUGCACGUGUAAGUAUAAAAUAACCUAUACUAUUGAAACUGCGAAUGGCUCAUUAUAUCAGUUAUAGUUUACAUGAUAAUAAUUUUCUACUUGGAUACCCGUAGUAAUUCUAGAGCUAAUACAUGCGUAAAGUCCCGACUCUUUCUGGGGAGGGAUGUAUUUAUUAGAUAAAAAACCAAUGCGGGUUCUGCCCGGUUUUGUGUUGAAUCAUAGUAACUUUUCGAAUCGCAUGGCUUCACGCCGGCGAUAGUUCAUUCAAAUUUCUGCCCUAUCAGCUUUCGACGGUAGUGUAGUGGACUACCGUGGCGUUAACGGGUAACGGAGAAUUAGGGUUCGAUUCCGGAGAGGGAGCCUGAGAAACGGCUACCACAUCUAAGGAAGGCAGCAGG